RNAcentral lists this ribosomal RNA (641 nucleotides) under uncultured bacterium. RNAcentral's name for it is "bacterial SSU rRNA". It matches the Rfam family "Bacterial small subunit ribosomal RNA", at positions 223 to 863 of the family's 1533-position model. The record is from RNAcentral.
AGAUGGGCAUGCGUGGCAUUAGCUAGUUGGUGAGGUAACGGCUUACCAAGGCGACGAUGCCUAGGGGUCCUGAGAGGGUUAACCCCCACACUGGUACUGAGACACGGACCAGACUCCUACGGGAGGCAGCAGUAAGGAAUAUUGGGCAAUGGACGCAAGUCUGACCCAGCCAUGCCGCGUGAAGGAUGACUGCCCUAUGGGUUGUAAACUUCUUUUGUACGGGAAAAAACUCUCGGUCGUGCACCGGGACUGAUGGUACCGUGCGAAUAAGCAUCGGCUAACUCCGUGCCAGCAGCCGCGGUAAUACGGAGGAUGCAAGCGUUAUCCGGAUUCAUUGGGUUUAAAGGGUGCGCAGGCGGAAUUGUAAGUCAGUGGUGAAAUCUUCCGGCUUAACCGGGAAACUGCCAUUGAUACUGCUGUUCUUGAGUAUAGUUGAAGUGGGCGGAAUGUGUCAUGUAGCGGUGAAAUGCUUAGAUAUGACACAGAACACCGAUAGCGAAGGCAGCUCACUAAGCUGUAACUGACGCUCAUGCACGAAAGCGUGGGGAUCAAACAGGAUUAGAUACCCUGGUAGUCCACGCUGUAAACGAUGAUCACUCGUUGUUGGCGAUAUACUGUCAGCGACUGAGCGAAAGCAUUAA